RNAcentral lists this non-coding RNA (29 nucleotides) under Rattus norvegicus (Norway rat). The record is from RNAcentral. Lineage: Eukaryota; Metazoa; Chordata; Mammalia; Rodentia; Muridae.
UGACAUGUCUACUUUGCGUCUGGGUCAGG